UAGUCUCUAAGGUGCCACAAGUCCUCCUUUUCUCAUCAUCACUGUCUCUCUACAGCCAGCCAUGCAAACACACAGCAAGCCCCAUGUUCCAUGGUGAUGUCUUAACAGGGCAGCUCAGGCCUGCAUUGGGAUGCCCAAAAAGGCACCAACCUAUCCAGACCUGCUGCAGUGAUGAGUGGGGUUUAUAAGUGAGCCCCAGCCCCACAACAUGUCCGACAGUACUAAAAGUCUGAGCCAUAACAAAAGCAGCCCCCAAGGGGCUGUCCCAUUACCUCACUCCUGCCUGUGCCUCUGCCCAGCCAGGGCCCAUAGCUGCAAAUAUUAGCAGCAACACAGCCAGCUAGCUCGGCCUCCUGAGAACCAGCUGCAGCCUGGCACUUGGUCUGUUCGAAACAGCGGAUCGCAAAGCAACUCUUCCAGGAGGUAAAUUACUGUCGCUAGCUCUGCGGCGGGCUGAGCUCCUUUGUGUACAGUCGGAGCCUUAGGAGCCCUGGGGGGGGCUGCCUUUGGACCCUCCUCCCCAGUUUGAACCUUUGCUCUCCACCCCCACCCCUCCUUUUUAUUUUUUUAAACUCUGCUGUCAUCCUUGGUGAAAAGCUAUAGCUCAAGCUGAUCAGGCAUCCUCACUCUGUCCUCCGGCUGGGAGAGGAGGGAAAUACUGUGGGGGCUGGGGAACGAGAUCUGGGCUAGUCCUUGUCUCUGCCAUUACAGCCACCGUGCCUGCCUCCCUCACUGCAGCAGCAUCUCCGGCUCAGGCUCUCCCUCCCCUGCAGCCCAAACAGGCAGCCUGUGCCCCUGUCUCUGCCACAUCCACCAUGCUGGAUAUUUUCAUCUUAAUGUUUUUUGCCAUCAUCGGCCUGGUGAUCCUCUCCUACAUCAUCUACCUGCUCUAGGAGCCCCAACAGCAGUGCAGGGGAAGGAUGAAGCACUGCAGCCAGCCAUCCUGCCAGUCAAAGCAUCAUCCAGCAGCAGCAGCCAUGCCAGAGCCAUCAGGAGAAAGAGUUAACCCUUUGCAAGCAACCCGCUUCCUGAGCAGCUGGAGAGAAGAAAACCCCAGAAAGAGCAGCCAUUGGACAGUGCAGAUGUCAAGACUUAUAAAUGCCCUUGACAGAAUGUCUGAGCUGUAAUGCAUCUGAAGAGCAAAUACAAAGCGACCCGGCCUCAAGAAUGGACAGAGAGAGAGCGAGAGAGCGCAUGUGUGAUAAUGAAACCUCACUAUGGAGAAGUGUGUUGUUUUGUUUGCCAUGCUGGUAUUAAGGAAAUGUAACUUCACUGUUCCGUGGCCACAUAGUUAUCCCCCCUUCUUGGGAAAAGUACCUGCUGGUUUUUAGUUUUAGAAAGUAUAUAUAUAUUUUAAUUAAAAAAAUCAGAAAAGGUUAAAAAAGCAACACAGAGCAAAAUCUGAAUAUCACAAUAGUAUCUUAUGCAGACAUGUCACCUUUCAUUUUAACUGAUCACCCACUGCUUAUCACUGGGCAUUGCUAAAAUGCAUCCACUUCUGGGGUGGAGGGUGGCAACUAGCUAGAACACUUCAGGAAUGGCAGCAGGAAUUUUGGACAAGGACUAUAAAGGAAAAUCCCUAUGCAUAAGAAAUAUACAAGGGACCUUUUGGCCCAAUUCAUCAAGACAGAUGGUGCUGAGCCUGUGUUUGAAAAAUGCUUUUAAACACAUUUCUGCCACUAAUCUGAGUGCCCAGCUUCUAUGGAGGGGGCAACAACCGGAACACAGAUUAGCCUCAGAAACUGCUAGAUAGCUAGCAACUCGUACUCCAGGCCUAUUCGGGGAAAGGUGAAUGAUACCAUGUGCCCAUCUGUUUUGCGGGUGGGGGCCCCCAUAGCUCCAAAUAAAGCCACUGAAAGGUGUGGGUGCUAAAUCCCCUCGCUCAAUGUGAGUUGUGUAUCCAAACCAUCUACUGCACCCAGCCAGGAGUUAGAACAAUGGGAGGUCAGAGCUUAAUUUACCACUGCUUGGAGAGGUUUGAGUGAGAGGCUCUGGGGCCUUUUGGGAAAUUUCCCUGUAGGCCAACGUGAUCCUGAAUCAAGCCACUGCCUCUGUGUAUUAUCCCCCUUACACAGCCUUCUAGUGUGCAGGACCAGGAGGAGGUAUGGAGUGGGGAAUGGGUGGGAAAGAGAAAAGAGGCCAAAACACCAGGGCCAAGAUUUUAAAAAGUGGGCACUUUUGGUGCCCGUCUUGGACAGUCCAUAUUCGUGGCCACUUCCACAAAGCUCAACCCACUCCCAGUGCUUGAAUUAUAGGAAAAAAAUGCCUGUGGGCCCUAACCUUUUGUCGACUCAGUAGCAGUGAGCAGUGCAGGCAUAGAGCUCUGGCCUGACUGCUGCAGUCAUGUUUAAUUCUGCCUCACCCUCCAGACACUUUUUAUUUUGGACAAAUGCAAACAGUUUUCUGGAGUUAAAAAUGGAAUGAACAACAACAUGAAAGGCUCAGUCAUCCACUACUGUGUAAUAAGCAUCACAUGUAAUGUUUAUUUCAGAUGUUAUUGUAUAAUGAAAACAACUCUCCUAGAAGGUAAGAUUUUUGUAUGGCUGGAUUCCCCCUGCAGUUAAUUCUUGCUGGGAAGCAAUACACCCCUGGAAAUAGAAGUUUUGUAAUGGAAAAAAUCUUGAUGCAUCCUUAACUCACAUGACCUAGAAUCAUAGAAUAUCAGGGUUGGAAGGGACCUCAGGAGGUCAUCUAGGCCAACCCCCUGCUCAAAGCAGGACCAGUCUCCAACUAAAUCAUCCCAGCCAGGGCUUUGUCAAGCCUGACCUUAAAAAUUUCUAAGGAAGGAGAUUCCACCACCUCCCUAGGUAAUGCAUUCCAGUGUUUCACCACCCUCCUAGGGAAAAAGUUUUUCCUAAUAUCCAACCUAAACCUCCCCCACUGCAACUUGAGACCAUUACUCCUCCUCCUGUCAUCUGCUACCACUGAGAACAGUCCAGAUCCAUCCUCUUUGGAACCCCCUUUCAGGUAGUUGAAAGCAGCUAUCAAAUCCCCCCUCAUUCUUCUCUUCCGCAGACUAAACAAUCCCAGUUCCCUCAGCCUCUCCUCAUAAGUCAUGUGUUCCAGUCCCCUAAUCAUUUUUGUUGCCUUCCGCUGGACAUUUUCCAAUUUUUCCACAUCCUUCUUGUAGUGUGGGGCACAAAACGGGACACAGUACUCCAGAUGAGGUAUCAUUAUAAUUAGGAGGCAAUUUACUCUGAAUUGUAGUGUUUGUGGCUUAUAUAAGCACUUUUGGGGUACAAGUGGCAAGAAUAAUUUGAAAUUUGUUGAUAAGACUUUCUACAAAAAAAAAUGUUUACAUAAAGAUGGGAAUUAUGGUUAUCAUUGCCAGCUGAGUACUUGACAUAGUACAAUUUCCUGUCAGUACAAAAUUUCCCAAGGGAGAAGUACAGUGCGUAUAUCUUUGCCUGUAGAUCCAAAUUGAUGUUCUCCAGUGCAUCUGCUUCAGCCCAAAUUGCAUUACACAGCAUACCACUGCCAGGGCCCAAUUGUGGGUCACAGUCAGGGCUUUAAAAAGGGUGAGAGACCCAAAAUAAGGAACCUAACCCUUCUCUCCACCCCCACAAAACAGUUAAAAUGGAAACUCUAAAUGUUAUGGGAAGCAACUCUUGAAUAUAAAUAAAAUGUUCAGUAACCUCA
Long non-coding RNA from Caretta caretta (loggerhead turtle), 3639 nucleotides. RefSeq lists it as uncharacterized. The record is from RefSeq and is a predicted model, not a curated record. Lineage: Eukaryota; Metazoa; Chordata; Testudines; Cheloniidae.